UACGAAGGGGGCUAGCGUUGUUCGGAAUUACUGGGCGUAAAGCGCGUGUAGGCGGGCCGUUAAGUCGGGGGUGAAAGCCCAGAGCUCAACUCGGGAACUGCCUUCGAUACUGGCGGCCAGGAGCAUGAUAGAGGCGAGUGGAAUUGCGAGUGUAGAGGUGAAAUUCGUAGAUAUUCGCAGGAACACCAGUGGCGAAGGCGACUCGCUGGAUCAUUGCUGACGCUGAGACGCGAAAGCGUGGGGAGCAAACAGG
RNAcentral lists this ribosomal RNA (253 nucleotides) under uncultured bacterium. RNAcentral describes it as "partial 16S ribosomal RNA". It matches the Rfam family "Bacterial small subunit ribosomal RNA", at positions 524 to 776 of the family's 1533-position model. The record is from RNAcentral.